GUCUCGUUAGCUCAGCGGCAGAGCGCAGGCACCAGACCGGUCCUCGGGUGUACCUGUUGUGGCAGGUUCGACUCCUGCACGAGACA
This 86-nucleotide transfer RNA is filed under the name Rhodococcus qingshengii. Its description in RNAcentral is "tRNA-OTHER". It matches the Rfam family "tRNA". Rfam says of the family: Transfer RNA (tRNA) molecules are approximately 80 nucleotides in length. Their secondary structure includes four short double-helical elements and three loops (D, anti-codon, and T loops). The record is from RNAcentral. Lineage: Bacteria; Bacillati; Actinomycetota; Actinomycetes; Mycobacteriales; Nocardiaceae.